Long non-coding RNA from Jaculus jaculus (lesser Egyptian jerboa), 1005 nucleotides. RefSeq lists it as uncharacterized. The transcript is spliced from 2 exons. The record is from RefSeq and is a predicted model, not a curated record. Lineage: Eukaryota; Metazoa; Chordata; Mammalia; Rodentia; Dipodidae.
CGCACCGCGCCUCGGAGCCCACCCGGCGUCCCCGGUGACCUCAGACGCGUCCGCGGCUGGCCUGCCCAUUGUGGACGACCGGCCUGGGGCUUGGAGGCGGCGAACCUGAGGAGAUGCCAGCCUUCCACACCAGGUGGUAAAGUGGAGACUCGGUAUUUGGGGCAAGCGGGGCUGGGGAGGGCUCUACCGUGAGUAAAGGGAAAAAGAGAGGCGACUGCACCGGGUCUCCCCACACUUCUCCGGUUCUUGGCAGUUUAAGAUCACACUCAGGAUUGCCCUGCGCCCCUCCCUGCUUUCCAAAUGGUGGAAUUUCUGCCCUGGAGCUGGAAAGUGACAAACCCAAGACGCAGCUAGCGCCUUGGCCCCGAGAUCCCUCUCACCCACAAGAUCUGAAAGCUGACCACAGAAAUCAGAAGGCGGUCCGAAUGAGCGCCACGUUGAGGACCAGGAUGAGGCUGUGCGACUGGGGCUAAGAUGCCGACCGGGCGGCAGCAUCCCGAAGUGGCCCGGGCACCCUGGCUGUGCAGCAGCCUGCGCCGCGCACUCCUGCCCGGGGUGGCACUGUGGAGCCCCGUCGGGCGCUGCCCACCAGGGGGCGACUGAGAGUAGAGCGCCUAGCAGUGCAAAGCUAGGCAAGUCCUGAGGUCUGGGAUCACGAGGACUAAUGGCCCGCCAUCGUGAUGGCAUUUUAAUCCACUUGGAACCACUUGCCUCGAGAAUCCAUGGCAUUGCGAGUGACUAUGUGGGUGCCAGCCGGCCUUCCCUUAGUAUGCUUCGCAGGUUCAUCCAUGCUUGAGGUGCAUCAACAGUGGAUGGUAGUACAUGUUAGGAUAUGCCACAAAUCUCCCCCCCCCCCCCCCGUUCAUUCUGAUACACAACUUGGUUCUUUCCAGGAUUGGGCUAUUACAAAUAUAAUUGCUGAAAAAUUAAUGUUCAAGGCUUUAUGUGAAUAUACGCUUUCAUCAAUUUUGGGUCAAUGCAUAGAAAUAAAAUAACUGGAUCAAA